RNAcentral lists this unclassified non-coding RNA (919 nucleotides) under Daphnia pulex (common water flea). Its description in RNAcentral is "uncharacterized LOC124205458, transcript variant X3". The record is from RNAcentral. Lineage: Eukaryota; Metazoa; Arthropoda; Branchiopoda; Diplostraca; Daphniidae.
CUCGUUUUGUUCACCAGUUUCGAAAAAGUGACGACUACCCAUCAUCCAUGCUCCUUGGUGUUUGCUGUUUGGCGGGUAUUGAGCCCUGAGCCAUCAUAACCACAAGAUAUGCCAGUUUUUCUUGUGCUGGUAAUGGCCUGGCAACAGCAACAAUCUCUGUCUCGCUUGGAUAUUCAGCAUCCUGCUAGAAUUGGAGAAACUAAAGAUGUCGGCCGACUAUCUCUUCUUUCCUCUCGUUAAAUCCCCUCUGUCCUCGUGUACACCAGUGUGUGUGUGUAUUCACGAGACGCCCUUUUUCCUGGCCCACCUGAGUGGAUUCAGUUCUUCAGCGAAAGGAUCACUCGUAGAUGCCUCCUGGUCGGAUUUCCCAGGCUUAAAGGAUCGCAUAUCUAUCGCACAGAAAAUGGGAAUAUUCAUACCUGAUGCAUUGUUGUUUGACAAAGGAAGCUGGAGAAACUCUGACAGCGAGUUUGAUACCUAUUUGGCUUUAUAUAUGCGGAGAAUUCUGUGUAGUCGCCCAGGGAAGAGAUGACCGACUAACUGAAAUAUCCUCACGCAGGUGAUUGAUGUGGAUGGAAACAGGUUCUGACUGGAGGCUAAUGAGCAUGACCGUCGCUCAAAAGUUCUACCAGACUCUCAACGUUUCUUUUGCCUGUGAUGCCGUCCUCUUUGACGAUGAGAUCUGGACGACAAUUGCGUUACUCACCACGAAGGAAGUCAAUUCCAUCAUCAGUUGAGCGAGCGGUCGUUGUCGGACGAAUGCCAUCGCUCAGAUUUAAUGGGAACACUGAGGCAGAAUGCCAGUCCAUUUCUGUUUCCAUGUGCAAUUGAAUAUUCGCUCAUAUGCGCUGCCAUCAUGUACGAAAUCUGGAAUCACACUGGUAAAGAUUGUCACAACAGUUUGCAGCUGGCCCAUGCU